CAGCACUCAGGGUCUCCUCUAAGUGUUCUGCCAUGAAGGGAGUUGAAUUCUUCACUUGCUGGUCCACCUUCAAGCCCUUGAGCCCUGCUUCUACCUCUUCUACUGACAGCACAACUCCUGAAUGCGCUGAAACAUUGAGAAAAUCCAGAUUAAGCCAAGUAAGGGAGUAUGUGGUAGGAGUUCUCUGGGGCUAUCAUGAUGGUUAAAGUGAAAAUUUAUUUCACAGUUGAAGUGAGGUUGCCAGAAAAGGUUGAUGCCCUAAAUGACAAACUGAUAACCCUUAAAAUCACAGCUGCACAGUGGAAAUAAGGCCAUAACUAUGUACUCAGUACGAAAUGGCAUAAAUAAACCUUAAGUGUUACAAUGCUAGAAACGGGAGACCACUUGGGGUGUAAUGCUUUAAGACUUGAUAAGAUCUUUAAUGUGCAUCUUGCAGGAGGACCUCUCAUAAUAAGUCUUCUGGAGACUUGUUAUCAGGGACAAGAAUCCCAGAUAGCCUAACAUCAGUAAGGUUGCUACCUUCGCUAUGGUUAUUUUAUCAUUAAGGUUUUAUGUUGAGAGUGCAUAACAUAAGAAAAUGGCAGACUGGGGCAAAUGUGUGAGAAGCUGCCAAGUUAUGCCCAGGAGAACUAUAACAUUAGCUGGAAGUGUUAUGAUCAGGAUCCAGGUAAUAAGGAAGACUUGGAUGGAAAGUCUACUGACUACCAGAUUCUCAAAGAGGUGGUACUGUUUGAUAAAAAGUUUUUUGAAAAACAUUAAAUAGAACCCACUAUCUGACUUUUGAUGAAACAGCAGUAUGUUAGAACCAACUGCCUGAUAUCCACACUUUUCCAAAUGCCUAAAGCAGACUCUAAUAAACACUUACAGCUCUCCUUAAGCUUUUCUUUAUUUGCAGAAAGACUGGAAAGAAGAGGUUUUAAAUCCACUUUGGCUUUCUGUAGCAUUUCUAAAAUAUCCACUUUAUUUUCAGCAUGGUCUUCCAGUGGGAUAGGAGCAAAAUAAUUCCCCGAGUUCUGUCCAGGAGAGAGGAUGGCUUGUUCCAGACCUAAUAUUGCAAGUAAAUACAUUUAUAAUCAAUUAGUCCCAAUAAAACACAGAAACAGAUCUUCAACAGUAUUAAGAAGGCAUAAACUGAAGGGGUUUUUAAGUAUCCAGAGAGCCUUUAACCCUAAUGGACCCUAACUAAUGAAGACAGAAUGAACCAUUAUCAGAGAAAGCUCCAAUCUACAUUCAAGGUCAGAAUCUGAAGCCAUUUUACCUGCUAGUCUCUCCAGUUCUUCAUGUGGUGUUGACCCGAGACUGCUGGAUCGGCUUCCUGAUCGGCUCGGGUUAGAGAACCACCUACUGAACCGACUGGCAGAGACUGACCCUUCUCCCAAAACAUCUUCUAUCAUCUAAAGGGAAAGACAAAAGGAGCUAAGAUAACAGUUUCUAGGUGAAAGGGACAACAAGGUUCAAAUUUUAAGAAAAGGUCACUUACUUUGAAGCUUCCUUUGAUGCUGCUGACCUGAAGGUAAAUACUCUCAGAAAUUACGAUUUUCAACAUCUUUAAUUUUUCUUCCCCUCCAAGGUCAUUUGAGUAACCCAAAGGUAGGCGUUACUGAUCAUGUACUUUCUAAGCAUAUAACGAAAAAUCUCUUGCCAUAUAAUGUGUUUUGGAUUUCUAUCCUUUGCCUCAUCAGAAACUCCAUGAACUACUUAAUGUUCUCAGAGGACAUAGUUUCAAAAUCAAAAUUACCACAGUAAAGCAUUCCAUUGCCAAGCUGAUGAGUGGUCUUCAACUAAAUAUUAAGUAUAGAGAGAUGAUGACAGCCCUUACUUCAAACUUCAACUUUCUCAAGGCUGUAAUGAACAUCAGAAAAUUCAAUGGUGACAAUUUCGGAAGCCAAAAGCUAAAAAGUAGAGCUCACAGAGAUCAUAAUUGCAGUCAAAGUUUAGAAUGUGUCAGGAUGUGAAAGAUUAACUUUUAACUGUCCUCUAAUAUUGGUUUAUUUUUUUAAACGUUUAUUUAUUUUUGAGAGACAGCGCGCGAGCAGGGGAGGGGCAGAGAGAGAGGGAGACACAGAAUCCCAAGCAGGCUCCAAGCUCUGAGCUAUCAGCGCAGAGCCCGACGUGGGGUUCAAACUCCCAAACUGUGAUAUCAUGACCUGAGCUGAAGUCGGAAGCUUAACUGACUGAGCCACCCAGGUCCCCUUGUCGGCAUGAAUUUAAUAGGGAGUUUGCAGGUGUUUGUUUUCUUUUAACCCCAAUCUCAACAGUUUUCAGUUUAGUAAGAACAAUUAAAUGAUGCAUUAUAAUCAGAAAUAAUUUCUCAACACUAUUUCAUAAUAAUUUCCAUGAUCAAUCCUUCUUAAAAACUAGAUUGAAGCAUUAAAAAAAUGCAUAUUUUAAUUCUAUGCUAUCAUAAAUCCAGUUAAAUAUCCAAAUUGAUCUUUAUGCAGUGUUCUUAUCCAUAUUUAGAAAAGACAAGGUAAAGCAAAUGUCAAUCCAAAAAAUGAGGCACAUCCUUGAAAGUAAGGCAUAAACUUUCAUUUCUAUACCAAUGAUAAAGAGAAAACAGGUUUUCCCCAAAACUGGUACACGGAUGGCAAAGUUAGUGACUCUGUUUCAUCUAAGGCCUGGAACCCCCAAUUUCCAAAGUGCAGCAACAACAGGUUAGAUUCUUUUAUUCUCACCUGGGAGAAUUUCCUUAUAAUGUACCCAAACUAAGCCACAGAGUACUUCUCUUGAACACAAGAAUGAAGGAUUUUAACUCAUGACAUUUAUUAUUUGUGGCACUUCUAUUUUCUGAUUCAAUUUCAAUCACUUCACUUGUAAGACUUACACACCUUCAAUAUUAAUGCUGUCAAGUGUAAAUUUUUUGCAAUAAUUAAAAUAUAAGAGAAACAUUAUUAAAUAUUUUUUCACUGAAAAAUUGAAAAUUAUAUCUAAAGUAUAACCAUGUCAGUGACAAAUAGGAAUUAUUUUAAAACUAAAAGCUAUAGCCAUUAAAAAUGUUAUAAUGUUGAAGAGUUUGACAUUUUAUAAAUAGCAAAAAUCUCUUUGCAUUUUAAUCCUUUUAUUUCCUCUGACCAUAGUGUAUAGGAAAAAGGUCAGAAGAUACACAGGAAGAACAUGAAAAAGGACAUGAAUAUAAAGUAACUGGACAUUUUCUAAAGAUAUGACAGUAAGUGUUGAGAAAGUCAUUUCCUUCCAUACUUCGAUUAAUGACCAACUUUGUUUCUGUUAGAGUGGUUUUAUUAUAGCUAAAACAUAAAAAGUAGAAACAAAGUUACUCAUUCAAUUAACUUUUAUUUAUUAAGUAGGCUCCAUGCUCAAGGUGGGGCUUGAACUCAUGACCCUGAGAUGAGAGUCAUGUGCUCUACGGACCGAGCCAGCCAGGCACCCCUGACACUAAGUUACUCUUACACACAUUUAUUGGAAAUUCCACUUUCAGGAAAGUAAAGCAUUUUAAACCCCAAAGGAAUCCUGAGAGGAUUCAUCCAAGCAGUCAUUAUUACCACACAGCAAGCAAGGAUCUAGCAGUAGUUAGAUUUCCUGCACCUUGGUACAGGAAAUGGAGAGCUGCACCCACUGCUCUGACUUCUUGGUUAAGACAUCCUCUGUAAACAUUCUUGUCAGCUAUCAGCUGUUCAAGAAGAGGAGCCUAUAAAUGUAAUCUGGUAGGUUUCAUCUGCUCUUUCUAGAUUUUUAAUAACCUUUCAAAGUAACUUAUGACUGUUAGUCUGGUCCUUCAAACAAAAGUCAUUUGAUAAGUCUUAUCUUAGGAUUCGUAUUAUUCUGAUCAGAUACUGUAAAAUAUUUUCUUUGACAAUGACUAGUAAAUGAUUAACAUUUUUUUUUUUUUAUUAAAUUUUUUUUUCAACGUUUUUUAUUUAUUUUUGGGACAGCGAGAGACAGAGCAUGAACGGGGGAGGGGCAGAGAGAGAGGGAGACACAGAAUCAGAAACAGGCUCCAGGCUCUAAGCCAUCAGCCCAGAGCCCGACGCGGGGCUCGAACCCACGGACCGCGAGAUCGUGACCUGGCUGAAGUCGGAUGCUUAACUGACUGCGCCACCCAGGCGCCCCAACAUUUUUCUUUUAGUACCUUCCACUUUUAUGGAAAUUUCUAUAUUUUUGUAUUUGUUUCACUCUAGUUUGACUUUGGGGAUUUGCAAUUAAUGUACCUAAGGCUAUACCUUUUCUUCUGAGCAUACUUCUGAUCACACCACCAAGGGUUUUCUGUGUCAUGGUCCUUGUUCAUCACUCUAAAUCAUUUACGAUUUCCACUUUGAUUUCCUUUUUCUUCAUUCAACAUACAUAAGCACCUGUUACAUGUCAGGCCCUAUAGUAAUAGUUGCAUCAUAUCUAAAACAAACUUAUUUUUAAUUAUUUAACUGAAAUUACUUGCACAUGUGAUCCAAAUUUUCAGUUUGCAUAGAUUUUUAUGACUUUCAACUUCUAAUGUGAUGUAAUCCCAGUAAAUAUAGCCUACAAAUACAGGUAUAAUUCUAUUUUUAUCUAUUAAUACCUAACACUGGUAGAGCUUACUAAGUGCCAUGCACUACUUCAAGCACUUUAUAUAACACUUGUCAACUGAUGCUCAAAUCCUAUAUAGUUCUUAUUUUUCCGAAUUGGUCAUUUAAUGAGCAAAUAUUAGAGUUAUACAGCAUAAUCAGUAUUUUUAACUGAUCCCAGUUUUGCUUUUAAGUGAACCUAUAGAAUAUACACCCUAAUGAGCAGGACUUUCAUGAAAAACAUGGAGACCUCUUAGCCUAGUAGCAACUACUGCUCAGCUUUAGCCAAAUUUUGGUUGAGGGUGAGGGCCAAAUAUAGUGUGAAGUUCCUAUUCCUCCUUUUAUACUUUAGAGGCAGUCUAAUAGUUAUGGUGAACUGAAAACAAAGACUCUUAACUGAAACUGCAUGAAUCAAAAUUCAGUUUCUACCACUUACUACAUGUGUGACUUUGGGCAAGUUAUUUAAACCUGUGCCUGUUUCCUCGUCUGUAAAAUGGAAACUGUGGUAAUUAAUUUAUAAGGGUUUUGUGAGUAUUAAAUGACUUAUUGUAUGUAAAGCCUAUAACAAUCAGCACUCUAUGCGUGUUACCUAUUAUCAGGUUUAGUUUUGGAUUCUUCUUCUACGUAGGCACACGCGUUAAGCUUCACAGGUGCUCACGUUUGGAGCCAUAAUACGCCUAUAAAUUUUUACCUUUUGCUGUGAAAACUUUUUAUAGUAAGAUUUCCACCUAAGAGAGUGAAGGGGGGGGGGAUGGGGAAGCCACUAACAUCCCCUCAAAAGCUAAGAAUUUUACACCAAAAAAAUUAAGCUCACAUCUGAAUGCAACAUCUCUGCUCACAGUGAGCCAAAGGACUACUACUGACUGGCUGACUGUAAGUGAGAACCAAACACACAGUUACCUGAAGAGUGCUCUAGACAAGUGUGUUCUUGGACCACAUGGAGGUAAGUUGAGAGAAUGAAAGUAAAUGCUUAGAAACUGCAGCAAUUUGGCACUGCUGUGACUUUUGUACUUUAUACUCAAGUAUUGGUUCUCAAUGGACUGAAAAUAGAACCUGGCCCCUCACCACAGAGAAUUUAAGAGGUACUGCCCUAGAACUCACCUGCAGCCCCAUACCUAUUAGUGCUAGGCAGUGUCUGCUCACCUGUUCCAGGUGGCCAUCUUUUGAGGACUGGGACCACAAAUGACAAAGGAGACAAGCCAAUAUUCUUGGGUUCUGUCACACCCAGUUCUCUCUGCUCACGGGAUAAUCAAAUAAGGAGCCAUCAUAGUUAGGAAGUACAGUCAUUUAAAUUCCAUGAAUCACCAAUUUUAAAGGACAGGUCAAAUGUAUUUGCUAUUGUAAAUGGGACCUCUAGAACAUACAGAUGCUUUUGGGCAAAUGUUUUUAAAAUUCUGUUUCAUCAUGGUUCUCUGCACUCUUUCAACAACCACAGAACAACUUCAUUUCUGUGUGCACAGGUCAGAGUGCUAUCUUUUCUCCAAUUUGUUGAGGCUAUAGUAAUCCCUAAAUGACCAAAGGGGCGAGGAGCAAAGGCAGCAGCAAGUGAGGAUUUGGGAUGCUUACUGAUUCUACUUUGAAAGUUGAGAAAAACUGGACCUCAGUAGUUUAACAGCAACACUGAAAGUAUUCCAAGCUGCUUUUCAUUGAAGAUUUUCAGAACCAUCACACCACAAAGUUAUCACCUAACAAGUCAACCUUACCCAAGGAAUGUACAUCAGCAUGAUACUAAUCACCAAUUAUAAAAAUCCACCUCUGCAGCAAGUCUAACAAACACUUAACUACCUAAAAAUAAAAGCAAUGUUCUUAACAUCUAAAGAUUUCUUACUUCAAUGCUACCAGACUAGAAAAAGAGGUAAGUGGUACAGAAUUCUCAACUUGGUCAUUUCCACUCAGACUCCCAAAACAAAGCCACAAAAACUCAAAUAAUAUUUAAGAAUAAAAGCCAAAAUCCCCAAAACAUCUACCAAAACAAUACUUUAAAAAGAGGUAUCUGAGAUACUUAGGUCAAAUUUAACCAUACAGUUGCUCCAUCUCAUUUAUAAGCGUGCUGCUACACUCACCGAAGCCAAGCAUGGCACCUUAUCAAGGUUAAAGAACUCAUUAAAGUCAAAUUCUCCUGGGGACUGCUCAGGCAAGACGGCGUCCCUUGGCACUUCCUGAUCAGCAGCAGGCUCCUGUGCCAGGAUGACCUCCACCUCAUCCUCUUCGGCCACUCCUCCAUUGCACUCGACUAUGCCUGAAAGCAAAACCAGGACAAAAACAGACUUGAUCAAGUGAACUGCUCUAGACUUAUUCUGUGGCCUCAGCCAUCAUCACACAUGCAAAAGAGCCAUAGCUAACUUUAAAGACAGACCUUAGGUGCCGAUAUAGUAUUUACAACAGUAAAACCAUUCGCUUCCUAUGGGAGCUAGGAAAAAAGCCCUAGUAACAAGCCAGAACACCAACACAAUGCAGGAAAGAUUAUGGUCCCUCCACCACCCAUUCUUCAAGUUUUCCGUAAUGCAGCAGGUUCUAUUUCUAAUGGCAUUUUUUUUUUAAAGAUAGUUUUUUCAAGUCUCUUGCUGCUUAAAAAUGGAACCAAAUUAAUUUGGCUCUGCCUUCACCCAUGUAAUCUAUACCACUGCUUUAAGUCAGGGUUCAACAAUCUAAGGUAUUUAUGUGAAAUCUGGCAUGAGGGCAAUUUUCACUUGCCUACAGGUUGGUUGUAGCUCAUCCUUCAAGGCAAACCUCAAAUGGUACCUCUUCUGGGAAGGCUGACCUGCCUACCUAUAUUUACCCUGCCCAGAAAAAUUAAUCACUGCCUUCUCUAUAAUCCUUGUGUUGUCUCUCAAAGUGUCUACUGAUACCGACCUUCCUGAAGGCAGGUAAUCUGCUCUAAUCAGUUUCGUCUUACUCUCAAGUGCCUGGUAUAUCUAAAACUUAGUAUUGUUCGAUUGUCGUUAUUAGGAUAAGAAGGUAGGGUCUAAAUGAAACUACCAAGUGUUAACAUUUGAGGAAUCUAGUAUCUUCGUUUUAGCUGGGAUAUGGGCAAAAGGCAAAAUACUUAGGAUAAAAAAUUUUUCUUCUUUUAAAGAAGUGCCCUGAGAUAUACUAGACAUUCAACUUUUUAAAAAAUGUUUAUUUACUUAUUUUGAGAAAGAGAGCAUGAGUGGAGUAGGGGCAGAGAGAGGGGGAGAGAGAGAGAAUCCCAAGUAGGCUCCAUGCUGCCAGUGCAGAGCCCAAUGUGGGGCUCAAUCUCACCAACUGUGAGAUCAUGACCUGAGCCAAAAUGAGUCAGAUGCUUAACCAACUGAGCCACCCAGGUGCCCCUAGACAUUCAAAUUUUUUUUUUUUUAACAUUUAUUUUUGAGACACAGAGACAGAGCACGAGCAGGGGAGGGGCAGAGAGAGAGGGAGACACAGAAUGUGAAGCAGGCUCCAAGCUCUCAGCUGUCUGCACAGAGCCCGAAGUGGGGCUCAGACUCACGAACCAUGAGAUCAUGACCUGAGCCAAAGUCAGACGCUUAACCGACUGAGCCACCCAAGCGCCCCAUCAAACUUUUUAGUUUGAAGGACAGAACUCCCAAAGCCCCAUGCUGCAAAAGUACCAAUGUAAGAACUGCCUGUACUUUCAAGAUCUACAGCAGACACGAAGCCUUCCCGUUAAAAAAAAAAGCGCCAAAUCUUGGACCCAUCCCUUCUCAAAAGUCCCUAAUAGUUACCUCAGUCUUGUUAUUAAUCAGACCAAGAGACACUAAAUGCCAUCAGCUGCUUUCAUUCCAGUAAUGCUUCAAACACUGCACAGCAAAGCAGGGAAUUCAAUAACUAAAGGGUUAAGUGGCUUGCUUACCCAAGGUCUCAAUACUAGCCAAGUGGCAGAAGCUUUAACCCUAAGAUGGCCACCGAUACUCUUCCACACCAAGCUCUGAGUAUUACAGCAGCACUGCUCCUCCACAGGGGUGGCUGCCAUCUAACUACCGUGAGCCUUCUGACAACCAGUGAAACAGACAAGGUUUGUGAGCCAUCGAUAAAGCAAUCAGCAGUCUCUCCAGUGGGUUAGAACAUACUUACUGAAAAGAGAAGCAAAUACUAUCCCUUAGAAACUGACAUUUAAACUAAAAUGACUAUUUGGUGGAGGUAUCCUCACUUUACAAAGAAAAUGGGCCCUAGAAGAAUUAACAAUAGCCUAAUCAAUGCCCAGUUUGUGUCCUUUUCCAUUAGAGCAGUGCUUCUGCCUGAUCCAUUUUACUAAGCAGAACCUGCCAGCCCACCUCAGGAUCGACAAGUGAUAAUACAUUUUGCUGUAGUUUUGGGUCCCAACUUAAGGAUGAAAGCCAGAAACAAGAGUCUGUACUUGGUUCAUACAUUUACAAAAGAAAUUUUAAUAUUUCUCCUAUGCCUUUUAUUUUGUGUUGAGAUGAGAAGAUCUCUUAACAGAUAAAUAGCUUUUGCAGAUAACAAGAAUGUUCCACAUGCAAUUUUAUGCCAGUGUCAAGGUUUCUGGAAAGCAGACAGGGUCUGUCAACUGAGAGUGGGUAUGAGUGGGUAGGGAUAUGCAUUAGUAGACAAACACAACUGGCCAUUUAUCAUGGUAGACUCAAAAGGCAGAGGCCCAGAAAAGAUAACUAGGGGCAAGUUUUACCACAUUCAGAAGGACCACAUACUUUCAUUAGAGAGAAAAACUGAAAUUUUCUUUUCUAUCAAUGGGGGGAUUUAGCUAUUUCUGACUUCUACAUAAUUUAUUUUUUGGUUACAGGUGUAAUGCACAUUCAAAUUGUUUCGUUAAUAUUACCAUAUAUGCAUCACCUAACUGUCUAGAGUGAGUACUCAAUACACAUCAAUUUUAAAAUCAUACAGGCAGUGAACAUGUUUGUCCUAUUAACUGCUACACUGCCAGCACUAGUAUGUGCCUGCAGAGAACUGCUACAUAAAAAAUUCAGGGGGGGGGGCCUGGGUGGCUCAGUCAGUUAAGUGUCUGACUCUUGAUUUCAGCUCAGGUCAUGAACUCACAGUUGUUGAGGUGGGCUCCCCACUCAGCAUGGAGCCUGCUUGGGGUUCUCUCUCCCCCUCUCUCUUUGCCCUCUCCGCUUGUGUGUGCAUAUGCACGUGCUCUCUCAAAAUAAACAUUAAACAAAAAUUCAGGGUAAAGUUAGAAUACAAAUAAAAACUGGACUAAAAGGCACUCAUCAUCCCUCCUCUCAUUUUUGUAGCCAAGAUGAAAUUAUGGGGUACCUGUUUAUCCUAAAUACAGUGGUUAGGACAGCCUAGGGACCACUGGCAAUUAACUACUGGGAUGAGUGAGCUAGGACUCCCGGAUUCCACAUGGGGCUCUGCCAUGAAAUCCAUGUGACAGGGUCUUGGGUUGUCCCCUCUUCCAGGCCUGUCUCUCUCUGUAUCUAUAAAGUAAGGAGGUGAUACUCUCACUCCUUUUGUUCAUCCACUUGUUGAUACAAGAAUGGUUGAAAUUCACAUUGCAGUUGAGUUAUGAAAACAUGUGCUUCUUUUCACCAGAAGCCUUAUCUUUAUCAUUAUGUGAAAAGACCACACUGGGCUGGUGCUCGUUAGCCUGAGAAUGACACAAAGCCAUGUCUCAAAGGUUAUUUAAGAGCAAAGCUUUACAAUUUACCCACUGAUGUCAUGCAUCACUCUAGGGAACAACAUGUAACAGCAUAAAGAUAAUGGUAAUGUCUACUGUAUUUUAAAGAUAUUACAAAAAAAAAAAAAGACAAGUGAUUUCUCCCUUUCCUUUCUCUUAAAUUCCACUAGCUCAUUUUCUACGCAAAUAUAUCUUAGCCUUAUAAUUUUAAGGUGGCACUACACAUUUAUGUAUCAAAAUAGCUUUCUUUCUUUCUUUUUUUUUAAGUAAUCUCUACACCCAAUGUGGGGCCUAAACUCAUAAUCCUGAGAUCAUGAGUGGCACACUUUACCAACUAAGCCAGCCAGGCACUUCUAAAAUAGCUUUCCACUUUUGUUGCCUAGUAGCUGCCAAAAGGUAUUUUCCAACCAAACGUGAAGGCUGAAGAGAACUGGAAUUUACUGAAGAAGUGCCCACAAGAGGCUGAGCUCUGAUGUUCACAUUCAAUCUUUAAUGCUAAGAGUAACCCUUAAAAUUAUAGAGUAGGCAGUCUUCACCUUACAAAGAAACAAGUCCGCCUAUAAAGAGUUUUAUCAAAGAUUAUCCUUUUUGUAAGCAACUGCCCCAAUACUCAAAUCCAGGCUAGCCGGCCUGGCCACCUCAAAGCCAGGCUACUGGAAAAUGACUAAUGGGACCCCCCAACUCUGCACCAGGCACCUCUCACACUGUUAACUCUGGCUUUUCAGUUUAGUAUGGGAGCUACCUGACCUUAUCUCAUAGUUGACUGAGUCUGGGAGAAGCCAAGUCAGAAACAAUUGAUGUAGGAAGUCUAACAGUAUGGUGAAGAAGGUGGGCUCUGAAGUACAAAAGAAGUUGCUCAAUUCCCAAUUUCACUACUUACUUCGUUAGUGUCCACAGACAAGUCACUCAAGCCUUCUGUGCCUCCAUUUGCUCAUCCACAAGAUGGGGAAAGAAGUACCUACCUCAUAGGGUUGUUAGAAGUAGGAUUACACAGACAAAACACUUAUCACUGGGUCUAGUGCUCAAUGAAUCAAACUCCUCCACUAUUUUUUACCACAUUUCUUAUCUCUGGGGAACCCUUUUAUGUACACAGUACUCUUACAGGGGAAUGUGAGACUUUUCUGUUUAGCACCACAGGCAGAACAAGUUGAGGAUAUAGUAUCCACACCUAAUAAAUUCAAACUUAGCAGCUUCAAAAUCAGGCUGCAAUGUUAGAAACUUGCUACUUCCUUGCAAUGGGUACAGUUGUUCCUAAGUGCACAUUCAGGCCAAUUACAAGCACAUCUCAUUUUAGAACAGUGAGCUCCCCUCUCAAAGUUUUUGCUGACCUUCCUUCACAGAGGUUGUCCGUCGUCUUGUUCUUUUUCUCCCCUUGUGAUCUUCUUCCAGUAUCUUAUCAUCAAAGCCAGUCAGCUCAAUGGUUUCAGACUGACUUGUGGGUCCAGCUGAGAACCAUUCUGGUUCUUCUUCUGUGUAGGAAUCAUUUCUUCUUCGCUCACCAAAGACACGUUUACUAUCCCCAAACUCCCUCUGGAAAAGUACACAAUCAAGAUAAAAAAAAUAAGGUUCUAGUUAAGGCAUUUCUACCUCAGUCAAGGUCUUGAUGAAUUAGUUAAUGCUCAAUAAUGUAAUGAAGAUACUAUGCUGCAGACUUGAAGCACCCCCACCCCCACCCCACCCCACCUCCAGCACUCUUUCUGCUCCUCUCUAUCUGGCUUAAGAAUGGGCUCUGUUGGCGCCUGGGUGGCGCAGUCGGUUAAGCGUCCGACUUCAGCCAGGUCACGAUCUUGCGGUCCGUGAGUUCGAGCCCCGCGUCGGGCUCUGGGCUGAUGGCUUGGAGCCUGGAGCCUGUUUCUGAUUCUGUGUCUCCCUCUCUCUCUGCCCCUCGCCCGUUCAUGCUCUGUCUCUCUCUGUCCCAAAAAUAAAUAAACGUUGAAAAAAAAAAAAAAGAAUGGGCUCUGUUCAUCCAGCAUCUCAAAAUAACCUGGUAUAAACAAACUGCAUAUCAAGUCCCUAAGCACAUGAGGGGCCAGAGGAUCUAGAAGACAAACCCUAAAUCGCUUGUCCUUAUAGUCCCUCUCUCGAUCUCGGUCUCUCAAGUCCCGCAGGUCCUUAUCACUGAGUCGGUGAUCCUUCUCAAAGGUCCGAGCAGAGAUUAUUCUUCCACUGCCAAUCCUUCGUCCGCCAAGCAGGCGAAGCCCAUCACUGUCUUUUUCCAAUGGACUUCCUGAGUGCCGGGAACUAACAGCGGCUGUCACAUGGCAGCCCCCUCCAAAGCUUCGUCUCUGUGGGCUGAGAACAACAUCUAAGUCAUCUUCUUUCACACGCUCUCGUGGAUCUGGAAAGGUGGCAGAAAGGGAAAGUUAAGCAAACCAGUAGGGUAUUUUUAUUUUCUCACUGGUAUGUCCAUGACUAGUGG
RNAcentral lists this long non-coding RNA (12493 nucleotides) under Lynx pardinus (Iberian lynx). Lineage: Eukaryota; Metazoa; Chordata; Mammalia; Carnivora; Felidae. The record is from RNAcentral.